RNAcentral lists this ribosomal RNA (301 nucleotides) under uncultured bacterium. RNAcentral describes it as "partial 16S ribosomal RNA". It matches the Rfam family "Bacterial small subunit ribosomal RNA", at positions 509 to 807 of the family's 1533-position model. The record is from RNAcentral.
CAGCAGCCGCGGGAAUACAUAGGGUGCAAGCGUUAAUCGGAAUUACUGGGCGUAAAGCGUGCGCAGGCGGUUAUAUAAGACAGAUGUGAAAUCCCCGGGCUCAACCUGGGAACUGCAUUUGUGACUGUAUAGCUAGAGUACGGCAGAGGGGGAUGGAAUUCCGCGUGUAGCAGUGAAAUGCGUAGAUAUGCGGAGGAACACCGAUGGCGAAGGCAAUCCCCUGGGCCUGUACUGACGCUCAUGCACGAAAGCGUGGGGAGCAAACAGGAUUAGAUACCCCCGUAGUCCCUGUCUCUUAUAC